This 337-nucleotide ribosomal RNA is filed under the name Candelaria sp. Hur ANT050743. RNAcentral describes it as "partial 18S ribosomal RNA". Lineage: Eukaryota; Fungi; Ascomycota; Candelariomycetes; Candelariales; Candelariaceae. The record is from RNAcentral.
GAAUUCACUAGUGAUUCUUGGUCAUUUAGAGGAAGUAAAAGUCGUAACAAGGUUCUACUGAAGCCUCUGCACCGACUCUAAACAAGUGCACAGUCUGCUCUGGCAGGCUACAUCCCCUCCCUGUGCUGGGAAUCCUUCACUGGAUGCCAGCAGCCCAGUCAUCGACUGGGUUCACAGAUCAGACGGGGGUGGCCACUGUUUGGUGGUUGAGAUAUGACCGGCCCUGGCUGUCACCAGCUAAGGACUCGCGUUCCGUAGGGUCAGUUACCUCCAUUUCCCCUUCUGAUAUGCUUCAUUAUACUAACUUACAUCCAGUGAACCUGCGGAAGGAUCAUUA